Long non-coding RNA from Triplophysa rosa, 1017 nucleotides. RefSeq lists it as uncharacterized. The transcript is spliced from 3 exons. The record is from RefSeq and is a predicted model, not a curated record. NCBI's taxonomy places the organism in Eukaryota, Metazoa, Chordata, Actinopteri, Cypriniformes, Nemacheilidae.
UUCAAUAACUAUUCAUUCCAUAAGAUCCUAAAUCACUGAAAUCUUUUGAAAAUGUAAUGUUGUUGUGUUUUCCAUUCGAACAAACUGCAGCUGCUCUGUGUGUUUAUUGUGCAGUCUCGCCUUCCACAGUAGUGUGGCGCUGUUGGCCCAAUGUCGCAGCGUCAAUGCAUGUGGCGCUUUCGUUAGUAAUAUGUGUGUUUAACUUGUUCCAGCUCUGCGCAGACCGAUCACCUUAUGACAAAACGCAUACGGCAUUAGAAUAGCAUUUCUAAAGCAUACAGGGCAGUCAGUUCACAAAUAGCUCUCACUGUGCUUUGAUGUCAUACGCCGUUCCGUCUGCGAUCAAACAUCUGACUGGCACGCACGAGGUGUACGAGUUUUCAGCGGUGUCCUCUCGCGCCACAGGCGGGAAUUCAAAAUAACGGAUGGCAACAACCUCUCGACUGUCCCAUUGGAGAAUUUUCAGUAUUUUCCAGUUGAGUAGACAACAAAAGGACACCCAAGGCCAACAGACCCAGCUCCAGCCCGCCCUGAUGCUCAUCCUUGCACUGCCUGGGACACCUAAGGCCAACAGCCGCAGCUCCUGUUCUCUUUUUGCCAUAAAUAUCUACUUUAGCAAUACAAAAUUGUGAAAUGCACUAUAGAAAUAAUUUUGACUUUGGAUCCUCACACCACCUGGUAAUAGCAGGAAACCCAUUUGGAGAGAACAGCAUUGUUUUUUUCUUGCUCGCAAGGAUUUGCUUUUUGGCAAAUUACAACUUUACCAUGGGUGUAGGCCUUGCUAUGAGAGACUACUUUUUUGCUGGACUUUUUUUACAAUUGUACAUUUGUACAAAGUACCUGAAAUAUUUCUGUAUUUAUAUUUAAAGUUAAGGCAAAUUAUUUGGUUAGUUUUGUUAAGAUGUUGUUUUCAUUUAUAACAAUAUCACCAACACAGUAUUAAUUAUUCAUGUGAUUUCAUGAAUUUAGAAUUGUAAUGUACAAUAUUUACUAUUUUGUGAAUAUUUAUUCAAUGUA